This 482-nucleotide ribosomal RNA is filed under the name uncultured bacterium. Its description in RNAcentral is "partial 16S ribosomal RNA". It matches the Rfam family "Bacterial small subunit ribosomal RNA", at positions 30 to 507 of the family's 1533-position model. The record is from RNAcentral.
AUUGAACGCUGGCGGCAUGCUUUACACAUGCAAGUCGAACGGUAACAGGCCGCAAGGUGCUGACGAGUGGCGAACGGGUGAGUAAUGCAUCGGAACGUGCCCAGUCGUGGGGGAUAACUACUCGAAAGAGUAGCUAAUACCGCAUACGAUCUAUGGAUGAAAGCGGGGGACCGUAAGGCCUCGCGCGAUUGGAGCGGCCGAUGUCAGAUUAGGUAGUUGGUGGGGUAAAGGCUCACCAAGCCAACGAUCUGUAGCUGGUCUGAGAGGACGACCAGCCACACUGGGACUGAGACACGACCCAGACUCCUACGGGAGGCAGCAGUGGGGAAUUUUGGACAAUGGGCGCAAGCCUGAUCCAGCAAUGCCGCGUGCAGGAAGAAGGCCUUCGGGUUGUAAACUGCUUUUGUACGGAACGAAACGGCUCUGGUUAAUACCCGGGGCUAAUGACGGUACCGUAAGAAUAAGCACCGGCUAACUACGUG